AUGUGUUUGAAUAUACAACAAAAGAAGGAGACGAUUAUGAUUUAAUUGCAAAUACUUAUUAUGCAAGUUUGACAACUGUUGAGUUAUUGAAAAAGUUCAACAGCUAUGAUCCAAAUCAUAUACCUGUUAAGGCUAAGAUUAAUGUCACUGUAAUUUGUUCGUGUGGGAAUAGCCAGAUUUCAAAAGAUUUUGGCUUGUUUGUUACCUAUCCACUCAGGUCUGAUGAUACUCUUGCGAAAAUUGCGACCAAAGCUGAUCUUGAUGAAGGGUUGUUACAAAAUUUCAAUCAAGAUGCCAAUUUCAGCAAAGGAAGUGGGAUAGUGUUCAUUCCAGGAAGAGGUAUGUAUUUUCUCAUUUUCUGCCAACUGUGGUUGGCACAGAUGGUUUGAACUUCUGUCACAUCCGUUGUAACUUUGAUAAGUCUGAAAUUCCGCAGUUUGUAGAUUAUUGGUAAAUUCCAUUAUAAAUGUUUAAUGCGAUUUGGUGAUUCUUAUCAAAAGUACUUGUAUAAGUAUGCGAGUUAGAUAAAAAAAAAUUAUGACCAUCUUGUUCUCGUGGAAAUGGACUCUGAUAAUUCAUAAAGUCUAGCCAAUGAUUGUAACAACCAGGUUUUGAACUUAGUACUUCCAAUCAACUUGACCUUCACCGGACCUCAUUGACCACUCGAGUCGAACCAUUUAAUUUCAGUUAGAGUAUAUUUAAAUGCUAAGUUACUCUAUUAUUUUUCAAAGUAUAUACAUGGAAUAAAUUGAACUAUGAUUGGGUUUAAAUUCAGGUUACAUUUUUUAUUUUACUGAUAUGAAAAAAACUACAGUAUCUUUUUAUAGAAAAAAACUACACUAUAUUUGUUAAUGUAUAUACAGUGUAAACAUGUAAAAUUUAAAUAGAAGGCAAAAUUGAAAAUUUUCAAAAAUAUAUUAAUUGCUUGACCAUAUUAUCCAAUUUAUGCUAUAGGUAGAAUGAAGUUGAUGAACAUGUUUUAUUAGUGAACCUGACAUUCUAGUUUAUCAUGGAUGAGUAAUCAAUAAAUGAUAAUAUUACAUCUAACUUUUUAAUUGUUUGUUCCUCUAUGUUAUUGAAAAAUGCAUUAAGUGAUGUUUUUUUGUUUAUUGAUUGAUAUGUUUGCAUUUUAUGUAUGACUAUUUGUUCUUUUGUUUUAUUUUUUAUUCCUUUAAUUUUGCAGAUGAAAAUGGAGUUUAUGUUCCCUUGCCCUCUAGGUAAGUUUCAUUGUGUUAGCCUUACCUUUCAUACUUAUUACUCACAGCAAUGAAAAUUCAUUUUUUUCCAUUUCGUUUCCCUUCUUGCAGAAAAGCAGGUUUCACCUUCAAACUUACCAGAGAAUUGGCUAUAUUGAUGAAUAUUUAUUUUUGCAUGUUCACAGUCAUAUGAAAAUUCAAAGAAAGCUAAGUGCCUCUCUGAACUUUAAUUUCUAUAUAUAUAAAAUCAGGUCACUUAGCUAGAAGUUUAGUUGCUGCUGGAAUAUGUAUUCGAGGAGUAUGCAUGGUUCUGCUAUUAGCAAUUUGUAUAUAUGUUAGAUACUUUCGCAAGAAGAAUGGAGAAGAGUCUAAAUUGCCACCAGAAGAUUCUAUGUCACCUUCAACUAAAGAUGGUAUAUGUACAACUUUCGUACUCAAAUUCCUUGCAUGACCCUUACCUCUUAAAUAUAGUGAAUGAACUGUUCCAUUAUUCAUGAGUUCAACUUAUUUUUUACCUCCCAUAGGUGAUAAAGAUAGCUAUAGUGAUACUAGAUCCAAAUAUAUAUUGGUGGACAAAUCACCAAAGUUCUCAUACAAAGUACUAGCCAAUGCUACAGAGAACUUCAGUUUGGCUAAAAAAAUUGGUCAAGGUGGUUUUGGUGAGGUCUACUAUGGAGUGCUGGGAGGCAAGGUUUGUUAUCAUAACUUUGUUAGUUUUACUUUGCAAUUAGUGGUAUGAGUCGGGCGUGCCUCAAGGGACGGAGUUCAUAUUCCCUCAAAGGCGGUUCUAAAAUGACUAUUGAUUCCACUGUAAUUUCUCUCAUUUUCAAUGGUAUAUAUAAAAUCAUACCAUAUACAGGAAAGGUGCUAUGCACCAGAUUUCAUCGAAUUUGUUAUAAACUUAUUCUAACAAGCAUAGUAUAGUGAAGAGCUUUUUCUUGUUUGUAACAAUCCAUUCCACGUGCCUAUUUCAACUUAUAUGUUAUUUCAUUAAGUAAGCGAUCUUUAAUUACACAGAAAGUUGCAAUCAAGAAGAUGAAGACGCAAGCAACAAGAGAAUUUCUUUCUGAACUGAAAGUCUUAACAAGUGUUCGUCACUUAAACCUGGUAAAUUUUCAAACAUAUAACAUUUUUCUUUUAGCUUUUUCUUUAUAAAAAUGAUUGUUUCUUUAUUAACUUUCUUCAGUAACUUUGUUGUUUAUACUAUAUUCUCUAAUGUAAUAGUAAUUUUGUAACCUAUAUCUAUCUGUUGUUAUGUCCAUAUAGGUACACUUGAUUGGAUAUUGUGUUGAGGGAUUUCUAUUUCUUGUGUAUGAAUACAUGGAAAAUGGAAACUUAAGCCAACAUCUACAUAAUUCAGGUGAUAUUAUUAACACAUUAAAAGUAUCAAUUUUCAAUGAUGUUUCAUUAAUUUGAGUACUUUUUGCAGAGAAAGAACUGAUGACCUUGUCUAGAAGGAUGAAAAUUGCUCUGGAUGUAGCAAGAGGCCUUGAGUAUAUUCAUGAUCAUUCGGUGCCUGUAUAUAUCCAUCGUGACAUAAAAUCAGAUAAUAUUUUAUUAAAUAAAAACUUCAAUGGGAAGGUAUAAUACUAUGCCUCUUUUGUUAAAGCUUCUUAAUAUUUAUUAUUUUCCUUAUUGAGAUAAUUGUAGUAGAUCAUAUAUUAUUCUUGUUAUCACAGAUUGCAGAUUUUGGAUUAACCAAGCUGACUAAUAUCGCAAAUUCAACAGAUAACACUAAUCACAUGGCAGGCACAUUUGGUUACAUGCCGCCCGAGUAUGAUGAAUUCUGCCCUUUCUUUUUAUGUGGUUGAUUGCUAUCAUAUCUAAUUUGCAGUUUUGAAAUCAAAGAUCCGUUCCUUAGUUUCUUUCGAAGGAUAUAGCAUCUUUCCCCGUUUGCGUUUAAAGAAUAUUACCAUGAUAAAUCCACCUUAUUCUUACUACUAAUCAAUUAUUUGUAACUAACGACACUACAAGAUAAUUGAGAUCUAAAGAAAAAAGUUACUAAUUAAAUUUAGUAACAUUUGAGCAAUUGUUAGGUAUAGUCCGUGUUACUAAAAAGUUUCAGUAACAUUUUAUAGUAUUAUCAGUAACAUUUAAAAACUAUUUCAUAUUUAUAUUUUCGUAACACUUUUUGUAUUACUAGUAACAUCAAAGGGAAAAGUAAAAAGUAGUUCACUUCCUUAGUUUAAUUCUACCAUUAACUUUUGUGCAGAAAUGCAUACGGGCGUAUUUCUCGCAAGAUGGAUGUGUAUGCUUUUGGAGUUGUUCUUUAUGAGCUAAUUUCUGCUAAAGCAGCCGUGAUCAUGAUCGAUAAAAACGAGUUCGAGAGCCAUGAGAUUAAGACCAAUGAAUCUACUGAUGAGUACAAGAGCCUUGUAGCUUUGGUAAUUGAUAGUUAAUAUCCCACCAUUUUUUAUCCUACAUUGAUAACCUUAUUUAUAUAGUUAUACAUAACCAUUGAGUACCUAAAUAUAUGUUCAUAUAUAAUGCGUGUUUUUUCUUAAAAACUGUUACGUAUGGCAGUUUGAUGAAGUUAUGGAUCAAAAGGGAGAUCCUAUAGAAGGUCUAAGAAAGCUGGUGGAUCCAAGGCUAGGAGAUAACUAUUCAAUUGAUUCCAUUAGCAAGGUAUUUAUUUAUAAAUCAUAGCCAUUUUUAUUGUUUCUGAUUUCUGUAUCUGACUGGCUUGACCUUUUUUCCACUGGCAGAUGGCAAAGCUUGCCAAGGCUUGCAUAAACCGAGAUCCGAAACAACGUCCAAAAAUGAGAGAUGUUGUGGUUUCUCUUAUGAAACUAAUUUCUACUAUUGAUGAUGAAAGUAGGACAGAUAGCGCAGAGUUGAGUCUUGAUGUGGAGCAUGAUUCAAAUUGAAAUGAAGAAGUUCCAAUGUGAAACUUAAUACUAUUCUACUAUGCACUUGUUGUUGUAUAGCUUAAUAUAAGAGAAGAACAGAAAGAAAAAAAACACAAAGCCAAGUACAUGAGAUUGGAUAAAAAGAAUCUAUGUAUCUUUUUUACACGCUUUAGUUUCUUUUUUAUCUAAAAUGAAUCUUAAAAACACACAUUUUUCAACGUUUUUUCUAUUAUUUUUGUUGAUGUACAACAUGUUCCUUUUUAUUGAUUAAAUCCAAAUCUGUUUCACUAAAUUAUGAGCCACGUAUAGAUAUAUUGGAUAAGACCGAUAUGAAUUUCAACAAACACAAUAUAUUGAGAAGUGUGUGUUGGUAGAAAAGGUAAUUUAAUAUCAUGAAAACUACAUUUCGAAUAUAUAUAUUCUUGCGCAACUCAAGGUAACACAAGGGUCAAGAUUGUAGGUUGUACAUAUUUAAGUAUUAUUACAUCCCCAAACAAAAAUUAUUCGGGUAAAAAAAUAAAUAAAUGCAGGUACUUUAAUUAUUUUAAAUAUACACAUGAUUUAUAUGUUCCUGAAAAUAAUGUGUCUAAAAUUAACAAAGAUAUUUUAUGGUUAAUUUAUUGAGCUUAGUUAAAGUCAUUUUCUAAAACGAGACAUUGUAGUUGUUAGAUAAAUAAUUUCCUUUAAUUUUCAUCAAAGUUUGUAAAUAAUUAUAGGGCAGGACACAUAUGUCCAUCAAUUGAUAUAUAUAUAUCUUUUGUAAUAACGAUCUUAUAGAAGAAUCAAUAUCUACAAAGAAAGUUAUCACUUGUCUCAAAUUAUGCUUUAUGCAACUGGUAUUGUCAUGUAGAUUCCAUUUUGGUUUAUAUGAUAUUGAAGUCAACGAAUCACAGCUGCUUAGGCGUGGUUCAUAAUUUAAAAUUGAAACUAUGGUGUUUGUUGGAAUUAUGAGAGGACAGACUGUGAAGUGGUUGCACAGCUACCGACAGGGUUGCCAUUACUGAUGCAAAGGAUUAAACAAUAGAACAUUUUCAAUCAACUUAAUCUAUGUUUGACAUCACGCUCGAUGUGUCAGAAUCACGACGACCCACUGUAAUUUUUAAAAAAAUUACAUUUUAUAAUUUUUGUAGAAUCACGGUGUAUCACAGUGAUUUUGACAUACCCACUGUAAUACCAAACAUGCACUUGCAUUCUUUCUUCCGUUUGAUGCCAAAAAUGGUAUUGUUUAUAAUACACUUAAAAUAAUUCAUAUCCAAGUUGUUGUAUAAAAAAAUAAACAAUGUGAUUUCCCAAAAAAAAAAAAUAAUAAGUGAUUGGCAUGCAACAUCAGAUUUUGUUGUCCAAGUGGUCACAUUUGAAAUAUUUGAGUUUACAUUUUUCUCACUAAUAUCUUUAUAUUGAACUUCAAUCUGUCUAGCUAUAAUCAAAUGGUUGACUAAAAUGGUUAAUAAGCUUCAAUUAAAUUCAAAUUAUUUGAAAGAACUUGAAUUUAAAUCUUAACUUGAACAUAACCCCGAAGUGGAUGAUUUACCCAAAAAAAUUACCUAACUACUCUAAUAAUCAUUUUAACAAUAAGAGUAUUUUACUCAAAGAAAUUUAUAUAAUCACAAAAUCCUAGUAUACUCAAUGAUUUUCUUAAAAAACUAUUAUAACCAGAAAUGACAAUAUGAGACAAAUAUAAUUAUUUUAAUAAAAAUAUCUAAAUUAGAAUUAUUUGAAAAUGUAAAACUAUAUUAUUUUUUGUAGUUUUCCAAACUUUAUUAAGCAUCGUUUAAUUGCACACAAAAUUUACUCCAAUUUUUUUUAGUCUCUGAAAGUUGCUUUUUGGUCCAUGUUUUAGUUUUGGUAAUUAUAAUUAAGUUUGUUCAUAUUAAUUAGUUCUAAUGUGUGUACUAUAUAGAUCAUACUAAUUUUGUUCCCAAACUCAUCUUAGUUAGGAUCUUUGUAUCUACUAUAAGAUUAAUCCUUGUGCCGAUAUAAGAAUAUUUGUCAUGUUAUCAACUAUCACAAUAUUGUAUUGGUGAGAUCAUAUAAGAUUUGAUGUCAACAUCUUCGUAAAGGUCUCAGAUUCGAUUCUCCCCGGUAUCAAUUUAAGUGAGCUAAUUUAGCUUCUUAAAAAAUAAAAUCAAACAACUUUUACAUAAACUCAGUGAAAACUUGGAUAUAAAGUAUCCUUAUACUACUCUUUAGUCUUGAUUAGUCUCUGCAAAGAUAUUUAUAUGUACUUUGUAUUAUCAUAAGAACAUUCAUUGACAUUUUAAGUUAAUGAAUUACUAACAUGUCAACUCUUAUUCUAGCCAACAGUUACUUUGUUCCCUCCACAUUCUCUUUGAAAUAGUCAAACGUAUCCAAUCAUGCAUGUCUGUUCUGAUCAUAACAGCAAAAGCAUGUGUAUAGAAAAUUGAUAGUUGAAUUAGAGUCAUUUUCCAUAAAAAAAUAUUCAAUAAGUGUGACAUUAUUUUUCGUAUGAAUUAAUCCAUUUUUUGCUGAUUUGAGAUUCUUUCUUUCUUUGCUUCUUGCUUUCCUUCAUCAGCCAUUUUUUUUGUUUUCUCUUUCUCUCUCUCUUCUUGAUUCAAUGAAUCUCAAAAAUGGAUUACUAUUGUUCAUUCUGUUUCUGGAUUGUGUUUUUUUCAAAGUUGAAUCCAAAUGUGUAAAAGGGUGUGAUGUAGCUUUAGCUUCCUACUAUAUUAUACCAUCAAUUCAACUCAGAAAUAUAUCAAACUUUAUGCAAUCAAAGAUUGUUCUUACCAAUUCCUUUGAUGUUAUAAUGAGCUACAAUAGAGACGUAGUAUUCGAUAAAUCUGGUCUUAUUUCCUAUACUAGAAUCAACGUUCCGUUCCCAUGUGAAUGUAUUGGAGGUGAAUUUCUAGGACAUGUGUUUGAAUAUACAACAAAAGAAGGAGACGAUUAUGAUUUAAUUGCAAAUACUUAUUACGCAAGUUUGACAACUGUUGAGUUAUUGAAAAAGUUCAACAGCUAUGAUCCAAAUCAUAUACCUGUUAAGGCUAAGAUUAAUGUCACUGUAAUUUGUUCAUGUGGGAAUAGCCAGAUUUCAAAAGAUUAUGGCUUGUUUGUUACCUAUCCACUCAGGUCUGAUGAUACUCUUGCGAAAAUUGCGACCAAAGCUGGUCUUGAUGAAGG
Molecule: long non-coding RNA, 7186 nt
Filed under: Medicago truncatula (barrel medic)
Lineage: Eukaryota; Viridiplantae; Streptophyta; Magnoliopsida; Fabales; Fabaceae
Description: long non-coding RNA (MTRU_LNC003614)
Source: RNAcentral